CACGGAGGCCCCAAGCGUUGUUCGGAAUUACUGGGCGUAAAGGGUGCGUAGGCGGCGAGGUAAGUCAGAUGUGAAAGCCCGGGGCUCAACCCCGGAAUAGCAUCCGAUACUGCCUUGCUUGAGGAUUGGAGAGGAGACUGGAAUUCAAGGUGUAGCAGUGAAAUGCGUGGAUAUCGUGAGGAAGGCCAAUGGCGAAGGCAGGUCUCUGGACAAUUCCUGACGCUGAGGCAAGAAGGCCAGGGGAGCAAAAAGG
This 253-nucleotide ribosomal RNA is filed under the name uncultured bacterium. RNAcentral's name for it is "partial 16S ribosomal RNA". It matches the Rfam family "Bacterial small subunit ribosomal RNA", at positions 524 to 776 of the family's 1533-position model. The record is from RNAcentral.